This 253-nucleotide ribosomal RNA is filed under the name uncultured bacterium. Its description in RNAcentral is "partial 16S ribosomal RNA". It matches the Rfam family "Bacterial small subunit ribosomal RNA", at positions 524 to 776 of the family's 1533-position model. The record is from RNAcentral.
UACGUAGGGGGCAAGCGUUGUCCGGAAUCAUUGGGCGUAAAGCGCGCGUAGGCGGCCCUGUAAGUCCGUUGUGAAAGUCAAAGGCUCAACCUUUGAAAGCCGAUGGAUACUGCAGGGCUAGAGUCCGGAAGAGGCGAGUGGAAUUCCUGGUGUAGCGGUGGAAUGCGCAGAUAUCUGGAGGAACACCGGUGGCGAAGGCGGCAUCCUGGACCGAAACUGACACUGAGGCGCGAAAGCUAGGGGAGCAAACGGG